RNAcentral lists this unclassified non-coding RNA (211 nucleotides) under Hevea brasiliensis (rubber tree). The record is from RNAcentral. Lineage: Eukaryota; Viridiplantae; Streptophyta; Magnoliopsida; Malpighiales; Euphorbiaceae.
GAAAGCUCAAUCUGCUACCAAUCACCGACCAUUGGAACUCGGCUCAGAACCUGCACACAAUGGUGCCGAAGAAAGAAAGGGUGAGUGCAAAAUCCACGAGUACUCAAGAACAUGGUCGAUCGACCCACAUUUGAAGCGAUGACGAGGGUCGGCCCUAACUGCCCUGUUCCUCUAUCUUUCACCUAUACAACUCAUUUUAAGGAAAACACAU